Molecule: ribosomal RNA, 816 nt
Filed under: uncultured bacterium
Lineage: Bacteria
Description: bacterial SSU rRNA
Rfam family: Bacterial small subunit ribosomal RNA
Source: RNAcentral
AGAGUUUGAUCCUGGCUCAGGAUGAACGCUGGCGGCGUGCCUAACACAUGCAAGUCGAGCGAUUUACUUCGGUAAAGAGCGGCGGACGGGUGAGUAACGCGUGGGUAACCUGCCCUGUACACACGGAUAACAUACCGAAAGGUAUGCUAAUACGAGAUAAUGUGCUUUUAUCGCAUGGUAGAAGUAUCAAAGCCUUUGCGGUACAGGAUGGACCCGCGUCUGAUUAGCUAGUUGGUAAGGUAACGGCUUACCAAGGCGACGAUCAGUAGCCGACCUGAGAGGGUGAUCGGCCACAUUGGAACUGAGACACGGUCCAAACUCCUACGGGAGGCAGCAGUGGGGAAUAUUGCACAAUGGGCGAAAGCCUGAUGCAGCAACGCCGCGUGAGCGAUGAAGGCCUUCGGGUCGUAAAGCUCUGUCCUCAAGGAAGAUAAUGACGGUACUUGAGGAGGAAGCCCCGGCUAACUACGUGCCAGCAGCCGCGGUAAUACGUAGGGGGCUAGCGUUAUCCGGAAUUACUGGGCGUAAAGGGUGCGUAGGUGGUUUCUUAAGUCAGAGGUGAAAGGCUACGGCUCAACCGUAGUAAGCCUUUGAAACUGGGAAACUUGAGUGCAGGAGAGGAGAGUGGAAUUCCUAGUGUAGCGGUGAAAUGCGUAGAUAUUAGGAGGAACACCAGUUGCGAAGGCGGCUCUCUGGACUGUAACUGACACUGAGGCACGAAAGCGUGGGGAGCAAACAGGAUUAGAUACCCUGGUAGUCCACGCCGUAAACGAUGAGUACUAGCUGUCGGAGGUUACCCCCUUCGGUGGCGCAGCU